This is an RNA transcript of Egretta garzetta (little egret), 3910 nucleotides long. It is a transcript of the gene named serine/arginine-rich splicing factor 5, with no coding region annotated. Lineage: Eukaryota; Metazoa; Chordata; Aves; Pelecaniformes; Ardeidae. The transcript is spliced from 10 exons. The record is from RefSeq and is a predicted model, not a curated record.
AAGGCGAGCAAGCCGAUGGGCUUUUGCUGCGGCCCUGUGCUUCCCGAGCGCUUUCAGGCCAGCGUGUUUGAUCUUGUGAGCCGCCGGUGAGCAAUCGCGGGUGCAUUGCGCGAGGAGCAACGUGUGAAGCGCUGCGGCUUGCAGGUGUCGAUACCGAUCUCAAAUCCGUUGUGCUCCCUGGUGUUUGAGUAAAUAACGCACGGGCAGAUAGUUUGCACCUCUUAGGCUGUGUCUGUGGUACUUUCUCAGGCAGUCGCUGCCAUCCACGCCUUCUGUGAUUCUUCUCCCUGCCUUGUUUUUCUAGAUCUAAAAGUAUAGAACAACAGUUAUGCAGUCGUUUUAAUCUGUCAAGUCCAUGUUGUUCCCAAAAUGAGUCCUGUUGCCAGAGCGACUGUUCUUACCCUGUUUAAGAGCACCCAGUUACGUAAGUCUGUCCUUCCUCUGCAAGGCCUGGCUUUCCCUUAAUACCCACUGCUGGCCUUGCCAGUGUUUGUGUGGUGGUAAGGGUACGCCGGGAAAACAGCCUGUCAGAGGACUACUCUGCGAGGGAGCUGAAUCAGUCCUCUGAGCUGCGUUUCCAUGUGGGCGUAAAAAUCCAAGUGUGGGCACAAAGGAGGGAAUGGUUACAAAGGGCAGCGUAGGCCCUUGUAGGAGAGGCACGGAAACUCUUCACGUGAAAGCGAUUAAAUAGUUAAUCACCUCAGGUCAUGGUUCGGGGACAGUUUAGGAUAACCUAGUAGUUGCACUUCUACCCCUCACCGCCCCAUACAAAACCUUGUCUUCCAAAGCUCUGGCACUUCUCUGAUGGCACAGUGAGCUCGAGUAAAGAAGCUAAUCGAUAGAAACUUAAUGGAUGUUGACACAGAAGCAUCAACCUUAAGAUGAGUGGCUGUCGUGUCUUCGUUGGACACUUAAGCUCACGCGCUCGGGAACGGGAUGUGGAGAAAUUCUUUAAAGGAUAUGGACGCAUACGAGAAAUCCAUCUUAAAAAUGGAUUUGGAUUUGUGGAAUUCGAAGACCACAGGGAUGCUGAUGAUGCAAUUUAUGAACUAAAUGGUAAAGAGCUGUGUGAUGAAAGGGUUACAAUUGAGCAUGCUCGAGCCCGAAGAGGAAGGGGCAGAUUCCCACAACGGUUCAGUUAUUACCAGUCGCAGAGUGGAUCUAGCCGGUAUGGACCUCCUGUUCGUACUGAACACAGGAUCCUAGUUGAAAACCUUUCAUCCCGUAUCAGCUGGCAGGACUUAAAAGAUGUCAUGAGAAAGGCAGGGGAGGUCACCUAUGUGGAUGCACACAGAAACAACAGGAAUGAAGGGGUUGUGGAAUUCGCGUCUUACAGUGAUAUGAAGAGUGCACUGGAAAAAUUGGAUGGCACUGAGCUGAAUGGACGCAGAAUUAAACUGACUGAAGAUCACAGAAGGCAUAGAAGCAGAUCUCGAUCAAGGAGUUACUCAAGAUCUCGCAGCAGGUCCAGGUCUACAGGAUCUUCCAGAUCGGACAGCCGGUCCAGGUCAAGAUCAAGGUCCAGGUCCAGGUCUCGCUCUCGAUCCCGGUCCCGAUCUCGAUCCAGUCUUCCCUUGCAGCUUUGUGUGACUCCUCCUUGUCUACCGGUUCAACAAAAGAACCAACAACAGCCAAAUGGCCAUGGGUGUUGGAAUCUUCCUGUAGGUAAAAUAGUUUUCACUUUUGAGUUACGGUAUGGUUCCAGAGAUUCAUAUAUCGCCCAUGCUACUUUUGUGCAUUUAAGGCUUCAACGCUGACACCCUCUCUAGAGCAAGUUACUGCUGAUUGUGUUCUUUGCACGUUUGGCUUGAUGUGAUCUGAAUGUGCCAACAGUUCAGAAGGAACACGAGGAACAAAUAGAAACCACUUUGCAGAGGAGUCUUACUAGAUGUGACUGUUGGGAAAGCUGGGGUACGCUCAGCUGUGUUAAAUGUCAGUGUUGUUUGCUUUGUUAAAUUUGUUACGCUACCAAAAAGACUCCCAAAAAUGGCCACUGCCAGCCUAGUACCUUUGAGAUUGGCAAGCGCAGUAUCAGAGACCGUGAAUGCUUCUGACCAGAGCAUGCUUACCUGGCAAAUUGUUUAAAUGUAGAGCUAAUGUAGAUCCUGUGAAUUUUAGUAAUUCUUGAAUUCUUUAUUGUAUCACGUCAUUUCCCUUCCAUAAUUUGCUGUUGAUUCAGUCAGUAGUGGCAACAGUAAGAUGAAUGUAGACCAAAGAACCAGCCUCCCCUUUGCCCCCGAACACCUUGAUGUUAUAAGCAAGUUUAUAAUCGUCGUUGUGAUGGCAACCGUAAAUAAAUACAGCUUAUUUCUGAACCUAGAGCCUGGUCUACCCAUAGAUUUGUGUUGCUAUUAAUACUGGUUAGAAGUACAUUUUUUUUUAAACUUAUUUUAAAUAGUACGAUCUAACUGAUAGUGUUUUAGUGUUGAAACACCUAUGACAGCAUUUCUUUUCUGUGCUGGCGUAGUAGGGGUUUCAACAUCUUUGCCAGCACAGCUGCAUCCAAGUUAACUGUAGUACUGGUUUCUAAAUGUAGCAACAGGUAACUGAUGACUGGAGAUUGUAGGGUGGUGUUACCAAUGCAAUGUCACACGAUGGAAAUAGACUUCUCACUAAUUUUUUUUACAUGUUUUUCAAGCUGGCGAGCAGUGGUUCCUUGUUCCCUAAGAUACACAAAGGUGUUUAGUUGAGGAAAAGGUGAGCUUUUGAAAUACCGAGAAUACUAAAUCUGAUCUUCCUCUGGGGAAAGAUUUGUUUAUGGUAGAUGUGAACUUGGCAGCUUUCUCAAUAUUUAUUUGAAGGGCAAGGAUAGGAAUCUUUAGCAGCUAAAACGUUUUCUUAAUGGAGAGGUUGAGUCCUUGGUUACUCAGCUCCUAGUUGUUUCUUUUGGUAUAUUAAUUUUGGUGCCUGGAUAAACAAUGGAUUUUGAAGCCCAAAUUUUUAUUAUGCAUGUAACUUCUUGUCCAUAGCUUUUUCAGUGUCAAAAAAAGCUUAAGCCCUAAAAUGUACGUGGGGGAGAAGUCGGAAGGGUGGUCUGAUUUCCACCCUCACCCCCUCCCCCCAUUUCCUGCUGUGUCACCACAUUUUUUUUCUUUUUUUCUUCCAGAGGACAACUAUGAAUAGCAGGAUUUCUUUCUGCCUUUAGGAAGAAAAAAGCCCCCAAACCUCAAAACUAUCCUAUCAGGAAGUUCUAACAGUUUUGAGCAGGUUUCAGAGCAGUACAGCCCUGUUUGCCACAUGGUAGAGUUGGAAAUGAAAACUACAUUUUUCACUGGGGUUUAAAGUUUUCACCUUACCUGAUACGUAAAAUAAGCUACAGCUGUGUACACUUAAUUGCUUUGACGAAGGAUAACUCAUUGGGCCACUCUAAGCUGGUCAUGUCUGACCUCAACUUGGAGCAAACCCAAUCUGAAAUUUGUAGUUUCAGGGCAUGUGAGUUGGUGCAGAGGGGUUAAAAGGACAGUUCAGUGGCCUGAAUAAAAUACUUGCUUGGUGGUCAGCAAGUGUAGAAAAGUCUUGAGAGGGAAGAGGAGUGACUGGGGUAGACAGAAGCUGUGAAGGGGGAAAAAAAGGACAGGAGGGAGUUUUGAGUUUUGACAGGUGUCAGUUUCAGUGUCAGAGGCUGGUAUUGAUAGACCACAGAAGGGAAUACAACCUUUAUACUCAUGAUAACAAUUCAAAUUUGUGAUCUUGAGAUAAACAAAUUGGGGAACGCACAUGCUUGUUUGUUUUGCUUAAAAAUAUUUGGUGUUAUGCUGAAGAGCUAAAGAAAACUGAAGCGGUACCUGUGUUCCUGUGAGAAGAUACUAUCUACGAGUCAGGCAGCAUGUUCCAACAUCUGACACUUUCCAUGAGAAAGCUGGGAAUCAUCCCUUCCAACUGGCAGAGAGCUGCUGCUCCCAGCCCUGCA